AGAGUUUGAUCAUGGCUCAGGAUGAACGCUAGCGGCAGGCCUAAUACAUGCAAGUCGAACGCUCAGUAGCAAUACUGGGAGUGGCGCACGGGUGCGUAACGCGUACACAAUCUACCUCUAAGCGGGGGACACCUCCUGGAAACGGGGAUUAAUACCGCAUAAUAUGCCGAGGUCGCAUGACUUUGGUAUUAAAGCAGCAAUGCACUUAGAGAUGAGUGUGCGUCCCAUUGGGUAGUUGGUGAGGUAAACGGCUCACCAAGCCUAUGAUGGGUAGCCGGUCUGAGAGGAUGGUCGGCCACACGGGCACUGAGACACGGGCCCGACUCCUACGGGAGGCAGCAGUAAGGAAUAUUGGUCAAUGGUGGAAACACUGAACCAGCCAUGCCGCGUGGAGGAAUAAGGUCCUACGGAUUGUAAACUCCUUUUGACGAGGAAGAAAGUGUUAGAUUUAUCUAAUUUUGACGGUACUCGUAGAAUAAGCACCGGCUAACUCCGUG
RNAcentral lists this ribosomal RNA (497 nucleotides) under uncultured bacterium. RNAcentral describes it as "bacterial SSU rRNA". It matches the Rfam family "Bacterial small subunit ribosomal RNA", at positions 8 to 507 of the family's 1533-position model. The record is from RNAcentral.